This 1438-nucleotide long non-coding RNA is filed under the name Equus caballus (horse). Its description in RNAcentral is "lncRNA (ENSECAG00000051087.1)". The record is from RNAcentral. Lineage: Eukaryota; Metazoa; Chordata; Mammalia; Perissodactyla; Equidae.
AUAACAUAUGGGUUACCUAGUUAAAUUUGAAUUUCAGAUAAACGAAUCAUUUUUAAUAUAAGUAUGUCCCAUGUAAUACAUUAGUAUUUUUAUUUGCUGAAUCUGGCAACUCUAUGAGUGAGGCUUCUGGGAAGCAAGGAAGGACACUCUUUUUGCCCUUUUCCCUCUUUUCUUUCCUGGGACAUGGAUGGAAGGGCUAGAAUUUCAGCAACCAGCUUGGGUCAUGAGGUUAAGGAUGGCAGAAGAGACAGAAGACUUGGGCCCCUAAUGACUGCAUACCUUCCGAUUUGCUUUAUGUUGAGAAUAAACCACUGAUUUCCUUUAGCCACUAAUAGUACCUCUGUUACCUGCACCCCAUUGCUCUUCUAACUGAUAGAGCCAUAAUAGAAAGUGCACUGUUAUUUUUGGUGUUAAGUCUGUUUACCACGUGUCAUCCUCGCCUCUGCCUCUGAUGUAACAUAAACCACUCUACUUUUACUUACUAUAUUUUUUAAGCAACCCAGGAGAGAUGGGUGAGAUUCCCUAUACUCUGGGAAAUGACAGCCCUUAGCAUGAGUUUCUACACAAUGUUAUUGCCUGACUAUUUUGCAAAAAGCGUUUUAGUGCCACGAAAUGAUGUUCUGAAGCUGCAGAACCAUAUUUCAAAACAGCAGAAACCACCUGUGAAUUCUGAUGUUCCACUUUGAGAAAGUUUACUUUUAUAGUGUGCAAGUCUUCAUUAGCCCUAUAUUGACAGCUUCCCUUUUGUGCUGUAAAGACUGGCUAAGGAUAGUCAUGUGCACAGGUAAAGCUAACUUGCAAAGCCCAUCAAUAAUUCAGGAAUGACGUGAAAAGCUAAUGCCUUCGGCCUUGUGAGCCGUUUUGAAUGUCCACUGUGAGGCAUUCUGGGAAAUGGAGGGGGUAAUAGAAUUGGCCUCUUUGAAUAUAAGCUUUUAUUUUAUUUAUUUAUUUUUUAUUGCAGUAACAUUGGAUUAUAACAUUAUAUAACUUUCAGGUGUGCAUUGUAAUAUAUUUCGAAUUCUGUGUGGAUUACAUCAUGUUCACCACCCAAAGACUAAUUACAACCUAUGAAUAUAUAAGCUUAACCUAACUGGCUGACCUCGGCUGGUUCUGCAGAGAAAGAGAAUUUCUCUGGGCUGUGAACUGUAGAAAUACCAGCCCUUCCUUUUGCAGUGGAAUCUUUUGAAGGUUAAGUAAUAGUAAAUAAUCAACUAAGAUUUCUCAGAUUGGCUGCAUUUACCUUUCUCUGAAAAAAAUGUUUCCCCAUGAAGACGAAGCAACUUUGGAAUGAGAGCAGUAUUUCCUUUUAGGCCUCCCCGCUUCAGACAUUCGGAGAACAAGAUCAGGCCUGGCCUGGCUGGCAGAGACUGCCUGGGGCAGACAGCUUGACUUGCCGUGUGGGUGAGGGGAGGUGAGUUAGAAUUUAAUAGAAGGGAGG